Molecule: ribosomal RNA, 492 nt
Filed under: uncultured bacterium
Lineage: Bacteria
Description: partial 16S ribosomal RNA
Rfam family: Bacterial small subunit ribosomal RNA
Source: RNAcentral
AGUGAACGCUGGCGGUAGGCCUAACACAUGCAAGUCGAACGGCAGCACAGUAAGAGCUUGCUCUUACGGGUGGCGAGUGGCGGACGGGUGAGGAAUACAUCGGAAUCUACUUUUUCGUGGGUGAUAACGUAGGGAAACUUACGCUAAUACCGCAUACGACCUACGGGUGAAAGCAUGGGAUCUUCGGACCUUGCGCGAUUGAAUGAGCCGAUGUCGGAUUAGCUAGUUGGCGGGGUAAAGGCCCACCAAGGCGACGAUCCGUAGCUGGUCUGAGAGGAUGAUCAGCCACACUGGAACUGAGACACGGUCCAGACUCCUACGGGAGGCAGCAGUGGGGAAUAUUGGACAAAGGGCGCAAGCCUGAUCCAGCCAUACCGCGUGGGUGAAGAAGGCCUUCGGGUUGUAAAGCCCUUUUGUUGGGAAAGAAAAGCAGCAGGUUAAUACCCCGCUGUUCUGACGGUACCCAAAGAAUAAGCACCGGCUAACUUCGUG